This 408-nucleotide long non-coding RNA is filed under the name Musa acuminata (dwarf banana). RNAcentral's name for it is "long non-coding RNA (MACU_LNC003026)". Lineage: Eukaryota; Viridiplantae; Streptophyta; Magnoliopsida; Zingiberales; Musaceae. The record is from RNAcentral.
GACAAUCUUGUUUCUUGUUUCAACAGUACAGCAUAUGGAAACUAACCUGAUUUAGAAGUCACAACACCGAGUCAAGCAGGCAAUCUAGACGUGACAUGCACCUUAAACUAAUACUUUCAUUUGUGCCUAUACAAAAACAAAGGUGAACUAUCAUGAUCAGACCAAGAUGGAUAUCACCUAUUGUACUUGGUAGUGUUAUAACGGUGAAUCAACCAAAACCAACAUUUCGACGACUUCCUAUGAUUCAUUCAACUGUAGUCCAGAGGGUACCUUCCAUGCAUGAAGCAAGCACUAGUCACCUUCCCUGGCUACCCUUCUCAGUCAGUGGUCAUUGGUUGUAUGCAACAUCGGAAGCGUGCUUUACGAACAGUAUGCACGAUAUCUUCUUGAGCACCUUCAAGCAGACUG